AGUGAACGCUGGCGGUAGGCCUAACACAUGCAAGUCGAACGGCAGCACAGUAAGAGCUUGCUCUUACGGGUUGCGAGUGGCGGACGGGUGAGGAAUACAUCGGAAUCUACUUUUUCGUGGGGGAUAACGUAGGGAAACUUACGCUAAUACCGCAUACGACCUACGGGUGAAAGCAGGGGAUCUUCUGACCUUGCGCGAUUGAAUGAGCCGAUGUCGGAUUAGCUGGUGGGCGGGGUAAUUGCCCACCAAGGCGACGAUCCGUAGCUGGUCUGAGAGGAUGGUCAGCCACACUGGAACUGAGACACGGUCCAGACUCCUACGGGAGGCAGCAGUGGGGAAUAUUGGACAAUGGGCGCAAGCCUGAUCCAGCCAUACCGCGUGGGUGAAGAAGGCCUUCGGGUUGUAAAGCCCUUUUGUUGGGAAAGAAAAGCAGCAGGUUAAUACCCCGCUGUUCUGACGGUACCCAAAGAAUAAGCACCGGCUAACUUCGUG
RNAcentral lists this ribosomal RNA (492 nucleotides) under uncultured bacterium. RNAcentral describes it as "partial 16S ribosomal RNA". It matches the Rfam family "Bacterial small subunit ribosomal RNA", at positions 29 to 507 of the family's 1533-position model. The record is from RNAcentral.